Long non-coding RNA from Homo sapiens (human), 1687 nucleotides. Ensembl annotates it as TEX26 antisense RNA 1. Its record names the gene TEX26-AS1. The record is from Ensembl. Lineage: Eukaryota; Metazoa; Chordata; Mammalia; Primates; Hominidae.
GCCCCUGCCAAGGGGUGCUGGCCACGCAGGAGGCUUAACCUGGCCGGCGCGGGAAUGGGGUGCAGAGAGCAAAGAAAUGUGGCUUUGAUCUUAUGGAUGCCUUACUUUUACAUUAUUUGUACAGUUCUUGCAGUGAGCUUUCCGGACCACUGUCUUGUAUGUUUCCUAAGAAAAGCAAAAAGGGAAGAGAUUGAAGAGAAAGUAGAUUUUCAACUACAAACUUUCAUCCAUUUGCUUUCAGCUUAAGCAAAUGUGCGCAAAGUUGUCAUGGAUUUUUGCAGUCAAUAAAAACCAAGCAAGAAGACUGAAUCCCAAGUCAUCUGGGGCAGAUAAGAAAAGAAACAAUUUGCUGAAACUCCCUCUGCUUAUAACAAAACUGACUGAAAUCAGCCGGAAUCAAUAUGGCCAAAUGCAGUUUGCGCACAGCAAGCUUGCUGAUGUCACAGCCUGAAUUUCUACUGCAUGUUUCAUACCAACUCCCUCCAAAUUUGCACAUGGGACCCACCAGGAAGCAUGAAGAGAGAGCCAUGCAUGCCUGAAGACUUCCCAGAUGUUCCCUUUGCUUCCACCAAUCACCUGCUAACCCCAGGAUCCAACCCUAAACCUUUUGUAAUAAAAUUACUGCCCUAAAGCCAGUACAAGACAGAUUUGAACUGGACUUUUGUUUCCUCAGAAGUUAACUUGCAAUGUGAAGCUUUCCUUUUCUCAAAAACUUGGUGUCAUAGUGUUGGCUUCUAGUGCAGUGAGCCCCUUUUGCUGGAUAACCUUACCUGGUAAUUUGACAUACUAGGUGGUUAGUAACUACUGACUGUCUCCAGGUUACAACACAGUUAUUACCCACUUGGGUGAAAAGAGAAGACAGGAAAUACAUUUUGGAGUUGGCUGGCAACCUGUUUACAAAGCAAUUUACAACAGUUCCUUAUUCUUAAGGGGCUAUUCUAAUACAAGACCUCAGAGAAACAGUGCAGUGUGACAAAGGAGGAAUUUAUCAAAGGAGACAGAAAAAGCAUCAAGGCAAGCUGUGAAAUGGUGCGGUAGGAACCAAAUAGAGAGCCAAAGGAUCUUUCUGUCACUGCAGGCCCUUAGGGAGACGGGGUCUCACUGUAUCAGCUCAGCUGGAGUACAGUGGUGAGAUCAGAGCUCACCGCAGCCUCCGGGCUCCUGGUCUCAAGCAAUCCGGACCUCAGCCUCCCAAGUAGUGGGGACUACAGAGAAUGUACAACUCCUCUGCCACAACGUGAGGGAGAGAAGUCUGCAGACGGCUGACUGGUGACGACUGAACAAGACGGAAAGGCAAGUCGCUAUGCCCGAAGCCUUUGAAGGGAGCCAGCAGGGUCCAUGGGAGGUUCAGGACACAUAUCUGCAGCCCUGCUUCUGGCCCCACCCUUGGGGAAGCCUUUUGCAGGUGAUCCUGGGCCUCUGCUGGGGAAGGCCCCAAGAGGUGAAGCAUCCUCUGCAGAGGAGAGAGCACAUCCGGAAGUAGAAGACAGACCACUGUCUGGGCUCCGUUUAACUGCUGUGAUUUGGGAUUGUAACUUACUCCCGUAAAGCCUCAGUUUCCCACAUGGAAAAUCAAAUCGAUCAUUGUUAUAACAUUUCACUUUUUUGUUAUGUGAUGUAAUUUACACAGUGCUUUCGUAUACGUUAUCCAAUUUAGCGAAAUAAUACAGAGCAAUGCAUUUUGAAA